UUAACCUUAAACAUUGGAACAAAAAUUUUGUUUUCUUCCAUGAAAAGCUCCAUAGCUAUGUUUUGAUUUACUGAGCACAAAAAGAAGGUUUAUUAAUAUCUUGUUUAAGAAGUAUGAAGCAGAUAUAUAAAUUUAAUGAGAGUUUGUUUAUUUGGAUAGAUUAAUGGAAGUUAAAUGAUGAAUACCUUGCUUUGUGGAACUUGCAAAUUGUUUUUGUAUUUUAACGCUUUGAUUACUAGGGACUAGUAAUAAGCUGGUUGGGGGGUGUGAUUAGUACUUAAAAGUGCAUUCUCAUUAAGGCUUUAUAUCAUCGUAUUGCACUAAAGUAUCGUUAAAUUCCCUAACUAAAGCAUGUUUUAUAAUAACAAGUCUAAUAAUAUAAUAUAUCUUUAAUUUAUGGUAAAUGCUUGUUUUGAAUGCAGGUAUAUCUCACAAUUCAAAGGAUUGAUUGCUGUGAUUAACAAUUGAAAGUGAAGAGACAAAAAGAGGACUAGGCUAAGAGAAGAGAUGCUGGUUCAAUUCCAAACUGGAACACUAUUCGGUUAUUUGAUCAUAACUGGAGUUGUAGAACUCGGAUUUGGGUCCACUUUAUAUGGAUGGAAAGAUAAGACAUAGACCUAAAACUUUCAUGAAGGGUCCAAAACUCAAUUCUGCCGUUUCCAAGUUCAAAUAUUAGCAACAACGGAGAAGUCGGAACCUGUCCUGCAGCUCAAACACUGUUCGGUUUUCAGCUCAUAUCUUGAGUUCUAGAAGUCCAAAUGAGCUCUGGUUUUUUUUGUUGGAAAGCUGAGACAAUUGCCCACAGCUUUCAUGGAACAAAGGGCUCAAAUUCUGAUGUUAGCAAUGACGUUUAGGCCAGCCAACAAUAUCAAAAAUCUGCCAACAAUUUCAAGAACCAGCAGCCAAUAAUGUCAAAAACCAGCCACCAAAUCAAUGGUUGGCCACCAACUAUUUUCUUAGUCCACCAAUCAAUAGUUCUGAAUCUUAGCCUAUAAAAGGAGGCAUUUGCCAUG
RNAcentral lists this long non-coding RNA (1013 nucleotides) under Populus trichocarpa (black cottonwood). RNAcentral describes it as "long non-coding RNA (PTRI_LNC004342)". Lineage: Eukaryota; Viridiplantae; Streptophyta; Magnoliopsida; Malpighiales; Salicaceae. The record is from RNAcentral.